CCUACGGGAGGCAGCAGUGGGGAAUUUUGGACAAUGGGCGCAAGCCUGAUCCAGCAAUGCCGCGUGCAGGAUGAAGGCCUUCGGGUUGUAAACUGCUUUUGUACGGAACGAAACGGUGAGCUCUAAUACAGUUUGCUAAUGACGGUACCGUAAGAAUAAGCACCGGCUAACUACGUGCCAGCAGCCGCGGUAAUACGUAGGGUGCGAGCGUUAAUCGGAAUUACUGGGCGUAAAGCGUGCGCAGGCGGUGAUGUAAGACAGAUGUGAAAUGCCCGGGCUCAACCUGGGACCUGCAUUUGUGACUGCAUCGCUAGAGUACGGUAGAGGGGGAUGGAAUUCCGCGUGUAGCAGUGAAAUGCGUAGAUAUGCGGAGGAACACCGAUGGCGAAGGCAAUCCCCUGGACCUGUACUGACGCUCAUGCACGAAAGCGUGGGGAGCAAACAGGAUUAGAUACCCUGGUAGUCCACGCCCUAAACGAUGUCAACUGGUUGUUGGGUCUUCACUGACUCAGUAACGAAGCUAACGCGUGAAGUUGACCGCCUUGGGGAGUACGGCCGCAAGGUUGAAACUUCAAAGGAAUUGACGGCUUGAGGAGNGCGACGGACGACGACGAGGGAGGAGG
RNAcentral lists this ribosomal RNA (623 nucleotides) under uncultured bacterium. RNAcentral describes it as "bacterial SSU rRNA". It matches the Rfam family "Bacterial small subunit ribosomal RNA", at positions 338 to 954 of the family's 1533-position model. The record is from RNAcentral.